UAGAGCGGCGGAAGGGAUAGGAAUUUAUAGGUAACAUGCCUCUUAGGUCUGGAUAGCGUCUGGAAACGGACGAUAAUACAGGAUGAGGUCUUCGGACCAAAGGUGGGAUUCCCCUAGGAGAUUGGCCUAUAACCUAUUAGCUAGUUGGUAGGGUAACGGCUUACCAAGGCGAUGAUGGGUACGGGGCGUGAGAGCGUGACCCCGAUCACUGGGACUGAGACACUGCCCAGACGCCUACGGGCGGCUGCAGUCGAGAAUCUUCGGCAAUGGACGGAAGUCUGACCGAGCGACGCCGCGUGUAUGAUGAAGGUCUUCGGAUUGUAAAAUACUGUCGAUAGGGCGGAAAUUUAGGAGGGCUAUCCCUCUUAUUUGACCUAUCUUUUGAGGAAGGACGGGCUAAGUUCGUGCCAGCAGCGCGGUAAGACGAACUGUUCUAACGUUAUUCGGAAUCACUGGGCUUAAAGGGCGCGUAGGCUGUUUGUUAAGCGGGGUCUGAAAUCCCUCGGCUCAACCGAGGAACUGGGCUUCGAACUGGCAGACUAGAGUGAAGUAGGGGUAAGCGGAACUUGCGGUGGAGCGGUGAAAUGCUUUGAUAUCGCAAGGAACACCGGCGGCGAAGGCGGCUUACUGGGCUUCAACUGACGCUUAAGCGCGAAAGCUAGGGUAGCGAACGGGAUUAGAUACCCCGGUAGUCCUAGCCGUAAACUCUGAGCGCUUGUUCGAGGGAGUUUUUUCUUUCUCGAGCGUAGCGAAAGUUUUAAGCGCUCCCCCUGGGGAGUAUGGUCGCAAGGCUGAAACUCAAAGGAUUGGAGGGGGGCUCACACAAGCGGGGG
RNAcentral lists this ribosomal RNA (833 nucleotides) under uncultured bacterium. Its description in RNAcentral is "bacterial SSU rRNA". It matches the Rfam family "Bacterial small subunit ribosomal RNA", at positions 91 to 935 of the family's 1533-position model. The record is from RNAcentral.